AAUCCAUAGGUUAAUGAGGCGAACCGGGGGAACUGAAACAUCUAAGUACCCCGAGGAAAAGAAAUCAACCGAGAUUCCCCCAGUAGCGGCGAGCGAACGGGGAGGAGCCCAGAGCCUGAAUCAGCAUGUGUGUUAGUGGAAGCGUCUGGAAAGGCGCGCGAUACAGGGUGACAGCCCCGUACACAAAAGCGCAUGUGCUGUGAGCUCGAUGAGUAGGGCGGGACACGUGGUAUCCUGUCUGAAUAUGGGGGGACCAUCCUCCAAGGCUAAAUACUCCUGACUGACCGAUAGUGAACCAGUACCGUGAGGGAAAGGCGAAAAGAACCCCGGCGAGGGGAGUGAAAAAGAACCUGAAACCGUGUACGUACAAGCAGUGGGAGCACAGGUUUACCUGUGUGACUGCGUACCUUUUGUAUAAUGGGGCAGCGACUUAUAUUCUGUAGCAAGGUUAACCGAAUAGGGGAGCCGGAGGGAAACCGAGUCUUAAUUGGGCGUUAAGUUGCAGGGUAUAGACCCGAAACCCGGUGAUCUAGCCAUGGGCAGGUUGAAGGUUGGGUAACACUAACUGGAGGACCGAACCGACUAAUGUUGAAAAAUUAGCGGAUGACCUGUGGCUGGGGGUGAAAGGCCAAUCAAACCGGGAGAUAGCUGGUUCUCCCCGAAAGCUAUUUAGGUAGCGCCUCGUGAAUUCAUCUCCGGGGGUAGAGCACUGUUUCGGCUAGGGGGCCAUCCCGGCUUACCAACCCGAUGCAAACUGCGAAUACCGGAGAAUGUUAUCACGGGAGACACACGGCGGGUGCUAACGUCCGUCGUGAAGAGGGAAACAACCCAGACCGCCAGCUAAGGUCCCAAAGUCAUGGUUAAGUGGGAAACGAUGUGGGAAGGCCCAGACAGCCAGGAUGUUGGCUUAGAAGCAGCCAUCAUUUAAAGAAAGCGUAAUAGCUCACUGGUCGAGUCGGCCUGCGCGGAAGAUGUAACGGGGCUAAACCAUGCACCGAAGCUGCGGCAGCGACGCUGAUGCGUUGUUGGGUAGGGGAGCGUUCUGUAAGCCUGCGAAGGUGGCCUGUGAGGGUUGCUGGAGGUAUCAGAAGUGCGAAUGCUGACAUAAGUAACGAUAAAGCGGGUGAAAAGCCCGCUCGCCGGAAGACCAAGGGUUCCUGUCCAACGUUAAUCGGGGCAGGGUGAGUCGACCCCUAAGGCGAGGCCGAAAGGCGUAGUCGAUGGGAAACGGGUUAAUAUUCCCGUACUUGGUGUUACUGCGAAGGGGGGACGGAGAAGGCUAUGUUGGCCGGGCGACGGUU
This 1301-nucleotide ribosomal RNA is filed under the name Salmonella enterica subsp. enterica serovar Montevideo. RNAcentral's name for it is "partial 23S ribosomal RNA". It matches the Rfam family "Bacterial large subunit ribosomal RNA", at positions 161 to 1503 of the family's 2925-position model. The record is from RNAcentral. Lineage: Bacteria; Pseudomonadati; Pseudomonadota; Gammaproteobacteria; Enterobacterales; Enterobacteriaceae.